Molecule: long non-coding RNA, 1828 nt
Organism: Colletes gigas
Lineage: Eukaryota; Metazoa; Arthropoda; Insecta; Hymenoptera; Colletidae
Exons: 5
Source: RefSeq, a predicted model, not a curated record
AAAUCGGAACCGUGUAAACGUAGUCAUUAAGUGCUUCUAUAACUUCGGAUAAUCGUCGUGCUGGUCCGAACCGCGUAUCGAUUGCUAUCGAUAUAUCCUCCGACCCCUUCGUAUAAAUCCUAGACACUACCCCGAAGGAUUCUAACCUAGAAGUAUCGCGUCGUUUCGUUCGGUCAAGGCAGUGUUUUGUGCGUGGUUGGGACAACGGCUGCAAUAACAGUGUCGAGCUAAAAGUACGAAGAGAGUGUGGCGCCAAAGAGUACCCGAGGGCUCGGUAAGGUUAGCGACCUUGACGUACAUGGUAAAGGACAGACCGUGCCGAGGGGCGCCCUUCGUGCAUCCAUCAUUGCUAUCCGGCAAUCAGUGCCAAGCAACAUUAUCGGUCAAUUUACCGUCACCGUGACCGGUCUCAGCCAACGUGAAAAAGCAAAUCUCGUUACAUCGUCCGUGAAAAACGUUCGUCGAUAUUCAGGCUGCGUUUGCUGCACGAUCGGACACCGUGGCGCUUUCUGUCUAUUACAUUAUGCUUGUAAUGGCCGUGAUUACACCAUGAUCAUGCCGGGGAGCCUUUAUACCGACAAGUUAGAGGUGCGUUCACUUUGGGAACAAAAACGGGAGUUUGAGGUUGUUUUGCAGCUACCCUGACGUUACAAGUUCUCGAGACUCGAAGAAAUUUUCAGGCAUUCAAAGGCCUCCAGCGUCCGCCAUUUUGGUGACUUGGUCUAUCGUCCCAGCGUUUGGAAAAGCCGAUCGUCGAGGCUGGAGGAUUUCAUUGGACCAUCGUUUGUUCGGGCGGCGAAAGUGCAGCGCGGACCGAAGGAAUCAGCGCGAUAAGCGCUGCGCCGAGGCCGACUUUCGGUACUUUAUUACGAGGCUGGAAAGGACACGCCGGAUACGCCGCUUACAAAUUACGUUGUUCCGAGUACGAUCGAUCUCGCGGAUCGCCAUUAUACCGAUCCAUCGACGAACAGCGGAGGAAUUGGCCAGAAAAGCUGAACGAGACUAUUUUAAAACGUGACCUGCCUUCGAAGUGCUGUAAUUGUAUAAAAAAUCAACGAUGAUCGGUUCCCCGGCGAAAUAUACACGGAGCACGGAAACGGGGCUACGUUGGACCCGUGGCCAUCGUUAAGGGGAGCCAGGGGAACGGUCGAUAUCGCGUUUCCUGGUCAGGAGAGGCCGUAGCAAGUGGACACACGGUCUCGGGGCCCAAGCGCGUGUAUCGACGGGGCUACAUAUUUAUUUAACUAAUAAUAAAUGGCUGUGUAGCUCGCAGGCGUACAACUUGCCCCGUAUAUAAGGACAAUACAUCUCUAUUUUAUUCGUUCGGGUAUAAUGGAUAGCGGACUUUAUGUGUACGUACACCGCGGUAACAAUAUAAUCGUGAUCCCGCGAGACCGCUCUUAUAAAGCCGCUUUUGCAAGAAUGGCCGCUCACGUGAGACAAUAUGCGGAAAUCGUAUUAUACGAAGCCGCGGGGUAGAAACCGCCACCGCGACCGGGACAAUAAGAUCGACGUCGGCGAAAGGGCGGCUCGAUACCCGUUCCUGACGAGCUUUUUCUACUUUUUUUCCCAUAUCCUUUCUUCAUUGAUUUCGCCUCUCGAAAUGCCCCAGUACAGGCUCUUCGACGAGAAGAAAUCCACGCUGGCCUCAGCCGGAAAGCAAAAAUUCAAUUUUAAAAAUAAAAUUUGAUCCAAAUUGUCUGACCAUUUCUGAUCCAUGGCAUUUUUGAUGUUUCAACGUAGGCUAUAAAUUUAAUGAGAGAUUCUAGAGGCCAAAAUAAGACGAAAAUCAAGAAUACCAAUUAGUUAAUUAAGGCAUCGUUAAAAA